GGAAAGAUGAAAAGAACUUUGAAAAGAGAGUUAAAAAGUACGUGAAAUUGUUGAAAGGGAAACGAUUGAAGUCAGUCGUGCUGGCGCGAAAUCAACCCUCUCGUCGAGAGGACACAUGGCGUGGCGAGCCUCAAAACCGUCACGAAGCGUGAACUCUUGGCGAAAAGGAGCACUUUCGUGUCCGCUGGUUAACAUCAAUUUCGAACGUCAUAAAAAGGCUGGAGGGAUGUGGCUCCUUCGGGAGUGUUAUAACCUUUAGCGGAAUGUGGUGGUCGGGAUUGAGGAUUGCAACGAAUACCUUUAGGGCUGUUCCACCUGGCUUCUCUUUGGUAUCCUGGUGACGACAGCUUGCUGACGUUGUUAGGAUUCGCCUUUGAACAGGCUAGAGUGUGAGCAAAUUCGUUAAGGAUGUUAACGUAAUGGCUUUAAACGACCCGUCUUGAAACACGGACCA
This 454-nucleotide ribosomal RNA is filed under the name Entrophospora claroidea. RNAcentral's name for it is "partial large subunit ribosomal RNA". It matches the Rfam family "Eukaryotic large subunit ribosomal RNA", at positions 358 to 668 of the family's 3401-position model. The record is from RNAcentral. Lineage: Eukaryota; Fungi; Glomeromycota; Glomeromycetes; Entrophosporales; Entrophosporaceae.